RNAcentral lists this ribosomal RNA (460 nucleotides) under uncultured bacterium. Its description in RNAcentral is "partial 16S ribosomal RNA". It matches the Rfam family "Bacterial small subunit ribosomal RNA", at positions 338 to 795 of the family's 1533-position model. The record is from RNAcentral.
CCUACGGGUGGCAGCAGUGAGGAAUAUUGGUCAAUGGACGAGAGUCUGAACCAGCCAAGUAGCGUGAAGGAUGACUGCCCUAUGGGUUGUAAACUUCUUUUAUAUGGGAAUAAAAUGUUCCACGUGUGGGAUUUUGUAUGUACCAUAUGAAUAAGGAUCGGCUAACUCCGUGCCAGCAGCCGCGGUAAUACGGAGGAUCCAAGCGUUAUCCGGAUUUAUUGGGUUUAAAGGGAGCGUAGGUGGAUUGUUAAGUCAGUUGUGAAAGUUUGCGGCUAAACCGUAAAAUUGCAGUUGAAACUGGCAGUCUUGAGUACAGUAGAGGUGGGCGGAAUUCGUGGUGUAGCGGUGAAAUGCUUAGAUAUCACGAAGAACUCCGAUUGCGAAGGCAGUUCACUGGACUGCAACUGACACUGAGGCUCGAAAGUGUGGGUAUCAAACAGGAUUAGAUACCCGGGUAGUC